This 507-nucleotide long non-coding RNA is filed under the name Androctonus crassicauda. The record is from RNAcentral. Lineage: Eukaryota; Metazoa; Arthropoda; Arachnida; Scorpiones; Buthidae.
AUAUAAUGAAUGCAUUGGGAAGGACUUAGUGAUUCAGGAAAAUUCAAAUUUUUUUCAAAUUUUUCAAAAAAAAAAAUUUCAGUCUGAUUCCCGAAUUUGAUGAAGUGUGGACUCAGUCCAAUGAAAUCACUGCUGGCAAUAAAUAAAUGUUAAGUGUUCCUAAAUAUGAUAUUUCAAAUACACAUGUAGCUAUCUAAGGCCAAUAGCAAACUAGUUGACCAAAUCGGGGCGACACGACAUAAAAAUGUACUUGAUUGGUUGCUAACUUGUUGCGAAAGAAUUGUUGCUUGUCGACGAUAUGUUUGCAAAUGAGGUGACGAAAUGGAAUAUUGAAACUUGUGAUGUACAAAAUGCUAUCCAAUCAGCAUCAACUACUUCAUUUCGAGUUUCAACGUUAAUCCAUUACUUCGAUUUUCCCGCACAUACUUGGUCUGAACUGCGCAUGUCUGUCGUCCAAAAUAUCCAACUUGCUGGAUACGACUUGUUGCCGGCCACGCCCCAUAAGAC